AAUUAUCCAAACAGCUAUUACAUGCCGACUUACAGAAUUUGUUUUUGUCUGUUUGGUCCCUCCGGCCUCUGCCUCUUUUUCCAGUUUCUUUGGGGACGUGGAAGGUAUUCCAUAAUUGUCCGGUUGAUAAGAGCUAGCUUGAAUGUCAAUGCCAUCUGUUGCACACGCUGGAGCCGAUUCAGCCUCAUCUACAAACACAUCAAGGUUCUCGACUGGCAUUAGGGCUGUCAAAGUUAACGCGUUAAUGCGUACGAUUAAUUUAAAAUACUUAACACCGUUAAUUUUCUUUUCGCCGUUAACGCAACAUUUUUUUUUUUACCUCGGCGCCAUUCAGUAAGAAAUUGACUUUAGUGGGAGUUGACAGGAUCGUGCUACUAUCACACAUUUAUUGUUUAACAUUAACUUUAUUGGCGGUUGACUUGACCUGUGCGCUUCACAGGCAUUUUUUUCCAAUAUAUAAUUGGAAAGUUUGCAUUCAUGUCGUGAAUUGUGUUUACUCGGCACUAGUUUAACAACAACAGCCUAAAAAUGCGUUAGUAUGCUACACAUGAGUUUGUUCAAUGGAUGUGAGGAAAUGGGAAUAUCCCCAGUCUCACUACAAAAACACUUCAAACAGGAAUGCUAGCCAUCCCCAGCUCUGCUUCAUGAAUCCACCUACUAACAAUGCUUGUAGCAUGUUGUUAUACUACUACGUCUUCCUCUGGAACCUCAUUGCUGUUAUCCCUACAUUUCAGUUGCACAUGCCACCUUGCACCUUCAAUUUCAUACAUCCCACUUACAUUUCUUACACUUGCAACUUCUGGUUAGAUGCUAACUGCAUUUUUUUUUACUGUACUUGAAACUUGUUCAAUGUCAAUAAAGUCACAUCUAAUCUAA
Esox lucius (northern pike) is the source of this 876-nucleotide long non-coding RNA. RefSeq lists it as uncharacterized. NCBI's taxonomy places the organism in Eukaryota, Metazoa, Chordata, Actinopteri, Esociformes, Esocidae. The record is from RefSeq and is a predicted model, not a curated record. The transcript is spliced from 2 exons.